GACUUAGUUUAAUUGGCAUUUCUAUUAUAACCUUGCAGGCAUCUUCAAUAUUAUAACCUUGCCAGCACCCAAAGAAUUCAUCCACAUUUAUACUACAUGUCUAUUAUUGCAGCUACAAGUUGAUUGCAUUCCUAGCAGGACUGCAGGGUGCAUCAUUGGGCAUCAUUGGGCUGCAUACCUAUUCACAUUUGAGUUUCAGUCUUUAACAGGUAACACUUAACAACCAAGCAGAAGCGAAGUUAGGAAAGCAGCUCCUGGUAUCUUCUUGCCAGUUAUCAAAGAACUAAGAUACCAAAGCAGCGGCAAGAUGUCAUGCAGAAUGUUAUCAAACUUUCAGUGUAAAUCUCUGCAAGUGUGCCCAUGAGAGUUGUUGCAGAAGGUGGUAUCAGUUUCUACAACAAUAUGACAGGUGAUCCUUCAGCAGUUUUCCGUAGGCAACGUUAAACAGCUAACAUUGCAGAAUGAUAUCAUCAAAACUGCAUGUUUACAUUAUGAUGCUCACUACUUCUUCCCAAUUAAUAUAAAAGUAAAUGGGAGGCAAUUUUACUGCAAUAGAAGAUGCAAUAUCUGACAAGGUGUGUCAACUAUGAGCAACCAUCUGCCAAUUGUUGUCUAAGUGAAACAGCAAAUUUAUCUAUGAGAGAGAGUAAGAGACCAUUGAAAAGCUCAGGCAGAUAACAAACAUUAAAAAGCUCCACACUAUUGGCAUGUCAGACAAUUGAGUUCACAACUAUUUCUCAGAAUAAAACAUAAAAAAAUAAAAACCCUAACUUAAUAUUCCUACUUGCCGAUCAAAAUUAGUCUAAAUUUUUUUGCAGAAACUGGCCAAAUUGAAGUCCUAUAAAUAAUCAAAAGAGCAGAUUAAAAAAAAAAAAGUUUUAAUUACCUUUGAUAUGGGGCGGCCAUGAUAAGCACAGAAUGGAGGAGCAAAGUAGGUGUGAAAAUAAUAGGAAGAACCGAAUCCAUAACAACCUAGACCUCCAAAAAUAAGGAACAUCUUCGUCCCAUAAUUAAUAAAAGCCAUAGUAAAAAGAGGAAUUUUGUAUCGGUAGAGAGAGUUGUUGUUCUUGGUUUGCUUUUUUAGGUUUCUUUCCUUUUAAAGUUACAAGAACACUCUCCGUCGCAACCGU
Molecule: long non-coding RNA, 1130 nt
Filed under: Aquilegia coerulea
Lineage: Eukaryota; Viridiplantae; Streptophyta; Magnoliopsida; Ranunculales; Ranunculaceae
Description: long non-coding RNA (ACOE_LNC000161)
Source: RNAcentral